Molecule: microRNA, 22 nt
Filed under: Picea abies (Norway spruce)
Lineage: Eukaryota; Viridiplantae; Streptophyta; Pinopsida; Pinales; Pinaceae
Description: pab-miR3701b-5p
Source: miRBase by way of RNAcentral
CGAAGGGUAAGCGUUGUUUGGC